AGAGUUUGAUCAUGGCUCAGAUUGAACGCUGGCGGCAUGCCUAACACAUGCAAGUCGAACGGCAGCACAGUUUGUAGCAAUACAAAUGGGUGGCGAGUGGCGGACGGGUGAGUAAUACGUAGGGAUCUGCCUUUUAGAGGGGGAUAACCCGGGGAAACUCGGGCUAAUACCACAUGAUCUCGAGAGAGCAAAGGGAGGGGAUCCGUAAGGACCUUUCGCUGAAAGAUGAACCUACGUCGGAUUAGCUAGUUGGUAGGGUAACGGCCUACCAAGGCAACGAUCCGUAGCUGGUCUAAGAGGACGAACAGCCACACUGGGACUGAGACACGGCCCAGACUCCUACGGGAGGCAGCAGUGGGGAAUAUUGGACAAUGGGGGCAACCCUGAUCCAGCAAUGCCGCGUGUGUGAAGAAGGCCUGCGGGUUGUAAAGCACUUUAGGUGGGGAGGAAAGGUAAGGCGAUAACAUCGUUUUACUGUGACGUCACCCACAGAAUAAGCACCGGCUAACUCUGUGCCAGCAGCCGCGGUAAUACAGAGGGUGCAAGCGUUAAUCGGAAUUACUGGGCGUAAAGGGUGCGUAGGUGGUUGACUAAGUGAGGUGUGAAAGUCCCGGGCUUAACCUGGGGAGGUCAUUUCAUACUGGUUGACUUGAGUAGGGUAGAGGGAGGUGGAAUUUCCGGCGUAGCGGUGAAAUGCGUAGAUUUCGGAAGGAACACCGGUGGCGAAGGCGGCCUCCUGGACCCAUACUGACACUGAGGCACGAAAGCGUGGGUAGCAAACAGGAUUAGAUACCCUAGUAGUCC
Molecule: ribosomal RNA, 804 nt
Filed under: uncultured bacterium
Lineage: Bacteria
Description: bacterial SSU rRNA
Rfam family: Bacterial small subunit ribosomal RNA
Source: RNAcentral